Molecule: long non-coding RNA, 2114 nt
Organism: Bos taurus (domestic cattle)
Lineage: Eukaryota; Metazoa; Chordata; Mammalia; Artiodactyla; Bovidae
Source: Ensembl
AAGCAUAUUUAUCCAAAUGUAUCAAAGGGCUCAGAAAAACACAAGCAAGAUCCAGGCUCAAAUUUAGAGGAGGGCAGAUAGGAUUUCAAAUAACAGCUCUGCUUCCCUGGCUAGGUGCUGUCUUUUUUUGUUUGUUUUUGCUGUACAGGAUCCUCGUUGCUGCACUGGCUCCUCUUUAGUUGCGGUGCAGGGGCUUCUCAUUGUGAUGGAGCAGAGGCUCUAGGGCAUGCAGGCUUCAGUAAUUGUGGCCCACGGGCUCUAGAACACAGGCUCAGUCGUCGUGGCCCAGGGGCUUUGCUUCUCAGCAUGUGGGGUCUUCCCAGACCAGGGAUCAAACCCUUGUCUCCUGCAUUGGUGGGUGGAUUCUUAUCCACCCAGCCACCAGGGAAGCGCCGAUGCCAACUGUCUUGAAAGCAUUGAUCCUGGAUCCCAGACUGAAGCAGGUGAUGCUGAAACUCCUGAAGGAAUCGUGUCAUCUUGAGCUGCUCAAGUUUAUUUCCACUAAAAAUACACCCUGAAACUGGGGCACAAUGAAGGAUUUCUGACAAAUGGGGAAGAGGAAUAAAUAAAAACUCUGGGGCCUUCUGAUUCUUCACUGAGUCACCUCCAAAUACUCACCAGUGAGCUGAGCUUGGACUCUCUCCACUCGUCGCUGUCAUCAGUAAAAGCUCAGGCAGUCCGUGUGGUCUGGGAGCUUAAAAGUCUCGAAGCUUGUGAGUCAUUGUUAGGAGAGGCCCCUGAUGGAACUGAACCCUGCAUCUACCAGGGAGGAAACAGAAGAACUAGAGGGGAAGUGACUUGGUCCUGCACCAUUCGGAUGAGUGUGCUGGAGAGGGACUUAGAGCCUGCACCCGGCCUCCUCACUUCACCACCCCAACUCCCCAGUCUUCCCAAGCCCCCCGCCUGCACCCAGCACCUGUGUCUGCCGUUCCUGUGGCACAUCUUAAGGCAGCCUAGGCAUGCCAGGGGGCGGUCAAUGAGAGAAUCCUCAGUUAGCAAUAAAGAAUGCUUUCAGCUUCAGGUUACAGAAAACCAGAUCAAUGGCAGCUCAACUGUAAGGACAUUAGUGUUGACUCAUUGAGACUAGGGAGGGAGGUAGCCCCAGGCUGAGACCACUGACUCAGCCAUGUCAAGAAGGAUCCAAGUUCCCCACUCUGCCAUUCUGGGGAUUUUAACUCUUUACCCUCAAGCUUAUUGCCUCAUAUCACAAAAUGGUUGCCACGGCUCUGGAUAUCAAGUCCUUAUAAAUAGUAUGCAAAGCUAAAAGGAGUUACCUAAAAAAAAAAAAGUUUCCUUCUCUGCCUUCUCCUUGGGUAGCUCUCUCUCUUCUGUGCAUACGUAUGUGCCCAGUCAAAUCCAACUCUUUGUGACCCCAUGAACUAUAGCCCCCCAGGCUCCUCUAUCCAUGGGAUUUUUCAGGCAAGAAUACUGGAGUGGGUUGCCAUUCCUCUGCCAGGGGAUUUUCCCAACCCAGGGAUCAAAUUCAAGUCUCCUGCACUGGCAGGCAGAUUCUUUACCACUGAGCCACCUGGGAAGCCCCUCUCCUAUGCAGGAAGGAAAAUGUUACUUACACUUCAUUGACCAGAAUUAGGUCCUACACCAACCAUUGGCAAAGGGAAAUGACAUCAUCAGGCUUGGUUUAGACCAAUCAGGAUUCACCUCUAGGGUGAGAGAAGCCGCUUGAGAGUCCCUUGAACAGCAAGGAGGUCAAACCAAUCAAUCCUAAAGGAAAUCAACCCUGAACAUUCAUUGGAAGGACUGAUGCUGAAGUUCCAAUACUUUGGCCACUUGAUGCAAAGAGGCCAACUCAUUGGAAAAGACCCUGAUGCUGGGAGAGAUGAAGGCAGGAGGAGAAGAUGACAGAGGAUGAGAUGGUUAGAGAACAUCACCAACUCAAUGGACAUGAAUUUGAGCAAAUUCUUGGAGAUAGUGAAGGACAGGGAAGCCUGGAGUGCUGCAGUCCAUGGGGUCACAAAGAGUCAGACACGAAUUAGCGACUGAACAACAACUGGGUCUGGACAUACCACAGUGCCCAAACAGCCAGUUCUCUCUGCAGCCCUUCAUCUGUGUAGUGGGGACAAGUCAUACCCACCACCUGUGUUGCUCAUGAGGAU